CCAGCAGCCGCGGUAAUUCCAGCUCCAAUAGCGUAUAUUAAAGUUGUUGCAGUUAAAAAGCUCGUAGUUGAAUUUCGGGGGUCAGUAGAUUGGUCGUGCCACUGGUAUGUACUGGUCUUACUGAUUCCUACUUCUUGACGAUCUGUAAUGUCAUUAAUUUGGUGUUGCAGGGAAUCAGGACUGUACUUGAAAAAAUUAGAGUGUUUAAAGCAAGCUAACGCUUGAAUACAUUAGCAUGGAAUAAUGAAAUAGGACGUUUGAUCCUAUUUUAGUUGGUUUCUAGGGAUCGACGUAAUGAUUAAUAGGGAUAGUUGGGGGCAUUAGUAUUCAAUUGUCAGAGGUGAAAUUCUUGGAUUUAUUGAAGACUAACUACUGCAAAGCAUUUGCCAAGGAUGUUUUCAUUAAUCAAGAACGAAAGUUAGGGGAUCGAAGACGAUCAGAUACCGUCGUAGUCUUAACCAUAAACUAUGCCGACUAGGGAUCGGGAUGAUGUUAAUUUUUUUAAUGACUCAUUCGGCGCCUUACG
Molecule: ribosomal RNA, 526 nt
Filed under: uncultured Glomus
Lineage: Eukaryota; Fungi; Glomeromycota; Glomeromycetes; Glomerales; Glomeraceae
Description: SSU rRNA
Rfam family: Eukaryotic small subunit ribosomal RNA
Source: RNAcentral